This 244-nucleotide long non-coding RNA is filed under the name Trifolium pratense (red clover). Its description in RNAcentral is "long non-coding RNA (TPRA_LNC012558)". Lineage: Eukaryota; Viridiplantae; Streptophyta; Magnoliopsida; Fabales; Fabaceae. The record is from RNAcentral.
UAUAUUUGAUUAAGUCUUCUAUAUUUUGGGUUAGUGGGAGUUUGUUGUAGCAUUUUAGAUGCAUGGACCUUUAUUGGAUUACAAAUUCUUAAUUUUAUAAUGUUAAUCCAUAUUAUUCUAUGUGAAAUUUAAGGUUUAGCAUGUAUGAUUUUGUUUGCCCUAUCGGAUUCAAUUUCUGCACUGUUUAAAUCUUAUGUUUCUUAUACUUUAGAUGACAUGUUUUAUUAUAUUUGAUAAAUUUCUA